Molecule: ribosomal RNA, 1360 nt
Filed under: uncultured bacterium
Lineage: Bacteria
Description: bacterial SSU rRNA
Rfam family: Bacterial small subunit ribosomal RNA
Source: RNAcentral
AUUGAACGCUGGCGGCAGGCCUAACACAUGCAAGUCGAACGGUAGCACAGAGAGCUUGCUCUCGGGUGACGAGUGGCGGACGGGUGAGUAAUGUCUGGGAAACUGCCCGAUGGAGGGGAUAACUACUGGAAACGGUAGCUAAUACCGCAUAAUGUCGCAAGACCAAAGAGGGGGACCUUCGGGCCUCUUGCCAUCGGAUGUGCCCAGAUGGGAUUAGCUUGUAGGUGAGGUAACGGCUCACCUAGGCGACGAUCCCUAGCUGGUCUGAGAGGAUGACCAGCCACACUGGAACUGAGACACGGUCCAGACUCCUACGGGAGGCAGCAGUGGGGAAUAUUGCACAAUGGGCGCAAGCCUGAUGCAGCCAUGCCGCGUGUAUGAAGAAGGCCUUCGGGUUGUAAAGUACUUUCAGCGGGGAGGAAGGGAGUGAGGUUAAUAACCUUAUUCAUUGACGUUACCCGCAGAAGAAGCACCGGCUAACUCCGUGCCAGCAGCCGCGGCAAUACGGAGGGUGCAAGCGUUAAUCGGAAUUACUGGGCGUAAAGCGCACGCAGGCGGUCUGUCAAGUCGGAUGUGAAAUCCCCGGGCUCAACCUGGGAACUGCAUUCGAAACUGGCAGGCUGGAGUCUUGUAGAGGGGGGUAGAAUUCCAGGUGUAGCGGUGAAAUGCGUAGAGAUCUGGAGGAAUACCGGUGGCGAAGGCGGCCCCCUGGACAAAGACUGACGCUCAGGUGCGAAAGCGUGGGGAGCAAACAGGAUUAGGUACCCUGGUAGUCCACGCUGUAAACGAUGUCGACUUGGAGGUUGUUCCCUUGAGGAGUGGCUUCCGGAGCUAACGCGUUAAGUCGACCGCCUGGGGAGUACGGCCGCAAGGUUAAAACUCAAAUGAAUUGACGGGGGCCCGCACAAGCGGUGGAGCAUGUGGUUUAAUUCGAUGCAACGCGAAGAACCUUACCUACUCUUGACAUCCAGAGAACUUAGCAGAGAUGCUUUGGUGCCUUCGGGAACUCUGAGACAGGUGCUGCAUGGCUGUCGUCAGCUCGUGUUGUGAAAUGCUGGGUUAAGUCCCGCAACGAGCGCAACCCUUAUCCUUUGUUGCCAGCGGUCCGGCCGGGAACUCAAAGGAGACUGCCAGUGAUAAACUGGAGGAAGGUGGGGAUGACGUCAAGUCAUCAUGGCCCUUACGAGUAGGGCUACACACGUGCUACAAUGGCAUAUACAAAGAGAAGCGACCUCGCGAGAGCAAGCGGACCUCAUAAAGUAUGUCGUAGUCCGGAUUGGAGUCUGCAACUCGACUCCAUGAAGUCGGAAUCGCUAGUAAUCGUGGAUCAGAAUGCCACGGUGAAUACGUUCCCGGGCCU